GCACAGAGAGCACAGUAGGUGUGUGUUUUUCCAGUGUGUGUGAGUGCGUGCGAAUUGCAAGUGCUAAUCAAUAAUUAAUAACAAUUGUGACAUUGUCAUAGUGCCGAAAAAACACACAACAAAAUGAGUGGCAUGGAUAAAAGAAAACUUUCAACAUCUGGCGAUUCGCUUUAUGAAAUCUUAGGACUUCCUAAAACAGCCACAGCUGAUGAUAUUAAGAAGACUUAUAGGAAACUUGCACUUAAAUACCAUCCAGAUAAAAAUCCAGACAACGCUGAUGCUGCCGAAAAGUUCAAGGAAGUCAAUCGUGCACACUCGAUAUUAAGCGACCAAACCAAACGCAAUAUUUAUGACAAUUAUGGAUCGCUGGGUCUUUACAUUGCCGAGCAAUUUGGCGAGGAGAAUGUGAAUGCAUACUUCGUGGUAACAUCGCCGGCGGUGAAGGCUCUGGUCAUUUGUUGCACAGUGUUGACGGGCUGCUGCUGUUGUUGCUGCUGCUGCUGCUGUUGCAACUUCUGCUGUGGCAAGUUCAAGCCACCAGUGAACGAGUCGCACGAUCAGUAUUCACAUUUGAAUCGCGCCGAUGGCAAUCGAGAGGCCACCGAUCAGCCACCGAAUCUGGGACAGCAGCCGCGUCUUGAGGACGUUGAUCUCGAUGAUGUUAAUCUUUCGGCGGGCGGAGCACCAGUCACCACACAGCCGGCCGGUGGCCAACCCGGUGGCCCACCUGUCUUUGCCAUGCCACCACCCAGUGGUGCCGGUGUGGGCGUGAAUCCAUUCACAGGCGCACCCGUGGCCGCCAACGAGAAUACAUCGCUGAAUACAACAGAACAAACCACAUAUACGCCAGAUUUUUGUAGUUUCUAUGAGAACCGUUGGUACGGAAUGUGAGAAGAAUAUGAAGAUCGUUAGCAAGACUCAAUCAAUACCAUUUCAAAAUAGAAUCAACUUCAUGACUUUGAACUAAACCGUUUUAUAUGGUUAAUCAAAAAUAUUAGACUCAUACAACAAGCGAAUCAAGCCCAAUCAUUGCGUAUGUUUUUGAACAGAAAAAUUACGAAAUAAUUUUAUACAACAAAAAUAGAAGGAAAAACUACACUACAUAUACAUAUAAGUAUAUCAACAUGUAUUUGUCUAAGAUAUACAUAUUGUUAAUUUACUUUAAAAUUUACACAAAGCGAGGCAGCGAGUCGACGGAUUCAGUUCACAGAAAACCAAGUGAAUGUUGUCGAUUGCAACUGAGCAGAAAUUGAAAAAUUAGUCACCCUUUAUUUGUUUUAGUGUGCGUAUUUGAUUAAGAAUAAAUAUUUUUGAGUUGUUGAAACUGUAAGAGGAUAUAGUAGGUAUAUAAAUAUUUAUAAUAAAACCAACAAAUCAACCAAAACAGCUGCGAACAGAAUUGAUGACAAACUUCGCAUACACAACAACAACAACAACACAGAUCUGUGUGCGUCUAUAAUUGUCUGAAUUUGUACGCAUAAUCCUACAUACAUACAUAUAUAUAAAAACAGAUAAAUACAUUUGUCAUUCAUUGAAGCAUUCAACUCUAAUUAGCCAUUCAAAUUGUACUUGUAUAUUAAAUUGAAAGCAACAAAUCUUUAAUAUGUAUUACUUACUUAGUCAUUUACUUAAAGUGUUUUUGCAUAUUUAGACUUGUACUUUGUUUUGUGUAAAGUGCAUUAAUUAUAUAAAUAAAUUUCAAUAUGUAUAAUACAUAAAAAGAUUAACAACUAUUGACAAACAAAAAUCUAUAUUGAGCUAAUUACAAUAAAUUUAAGCUAAAGCUUGACAAAUUGAAUUGUAAACUAAAUUAUACAUAUAUACUUGCAUAUAUAAAAACAAAUAUGUAAGGCGUUCAAGGUGUUUUCUAAAGUUAUAGCAAGCUAAUAAAAAUGCUAUAAUAUAUAUAUAUAUAUAUUUAUAAAUCAUUUAGGUUGCAUUUGUGUGUAUGUCCAUGGGAUGUAGCUUUCUUUACCUUAGCAAGAGAGAGCAGAAAACCGUUGUUAAAGACAUUAUUUUUCUAAUGAGUUGAAAUUAUUCUUGUGGUAAAUAUUAAAAUCAAUCAGCACACUACAAACGAAAUUGAAAUCUUACAAAGUCAAAUAUUACAUUUCACAUAUAAGUGAUAAGUCAAGCACUUGAAACGAUGCAAAAACAAUAAUACAUACGAGUAUAUGUAGGCAUACAUUCAAACUCCAAUUGGAUUUGGAAAAUACAAAAUACGUACUCUAAUGAGAAUUACGAAUACAUCCCGUCUUAAACAGUAUACUUACCCAUAUUAUUUGAAGAAAAAGUACGGAAAGUACGUUCCAAAGUUAUGGCACAUAGCACUGAUUUUUCGUCCAAACCUAUUGUUAAACAAAUUUCGAUGUCAUUACCUUUUCUUCAUUUGGUUUUGCAUUGCUCUCAUUUAUGUCAUUAUAAAAUAUAUAAAAAACACUUCAUGUAAAUGAUUGCAAUUAGUACCAAAUGUUAUAUCAUUCAUUCAAUAUCAUUAAUAUCAAUUAUAAAAGAGCAAAAAUAAUUUAUAUAUAAAAUUCAUUUACGAUAAUUACAUUUCAAAAAUUUGUGUGUGUAUUUAUUGUUCGUCAACAAAAUAAAUAGAAGGUACAUUUAAAAUUAACAACCAGAAAGAAAUGUAUGUAAUUAUAUAUAUAAAACAAUAUAUAACAUUAAAAUGAUUGUUUUCAUGAUAAAAUAUACCAAUACAGAAAUACAUAAAUUGAAGAAAGAAAUUAAUAAAUUUACUAUACACA
Scaptodrosophila lebanonensis is the source of this 2756-nucleotide RNA transcript. It is a transcript of the gene named dnaJ homolog subfamily C member 5 homolog, with no coding region annotated. The record is from RefSeq and is a predicted model, not a curated record. The transcript has 8 exons. NCBI's taxonomy places the organism in Eukaryota, Metazoa, Arthropoda, Insecta, Diptera, Drosophilidae.